GUCGCCCCAGAACGGGUUGAGGGAAUGUUGUGGGUUGGGACACACCCGGGAGGGCGCAAACUGGAGGAAGCGAGAGACGUCGCCAGGCACCCAGGGUCCUCUCCUUCCAGUUCCCCGAGCCUGCCCGGUCCCGCUGGCUUCUCCCUCUAUAGCGCCCAAUCUGCCCCGGGCAGUCCCGGGCUGGCAGCCUGACCCAGUACCCCGGGCGCCUGAGUGUCAUGCCUCCGGAUCACUGCUAGGGCCCCCACCUUGGGGAAGAUGCACGCGAGUACCGCUUCCCCGAGGCUCGCUCUGAAUCAGGCGCCUGCGCUCUCAGGGGCGCCCACCCUACCCCGACGGCCGAGUUUGCGCACCUCCUGAGACAGUUUGAGAGAAGGACAAACUUUUGAGUGGAUAAAAAUCAAGAGGAACCCGUCUGGAGCAGGCAGCUCCAGCCCCAGGGAGGACCGCGAGGGUACAGAGCAAAGCUGAUCCACCCCGAGCUCGGUGUCAGGUGAUGUCGCGGGAGCACAGGGUCAUUCAGGCCUCACCUCACUGGGACCGGGCUCCUUCGCGUGUGUGUCCAAUUCCCCCGAUUACGCCAAGACAUCCCGACUUAGCAGUUCCCGACGCUCAGCCAUCAGAGCCCCAGAGGAGCCACCACAUCAAAAGCUUAGACACUAGGACUUCGAGGCGUUAGCUAGUCGACAGCCAGCCUGUCCUGAGGAGACUCCAUGCUGGGCACUGCGGUCCCAAAGAGCCUCGGGUCUCACGCAACCAGGAAAGACACAUGCAUCCCAGAUUAGUAAAUAACAAUAAUAGCCCUUACCAUG
Lagenorhynchus albirostris (white-beaked dolphin) is the source of this 812-nucleotide long non-coding RNA. RefSeq lists it as uncharacterized. The record is from RefSeq and is a predicted model, not a curated record. NCBI's taxonomy places the organism in Eukaryota, Metazoa, Chordata, Mammalia, Artiodactyla, Delphinidae. The transcript has 3 exons.